Molecule: long non-coding RNA, 1845 nt
Filed under: Anser cygnoides (Swan goose)
Lineage: Eukaryota; Metazoa; Chordata; Aves; Anseriformes; Anatidae
Description: lncRNA (ENSACDG00005005118.1)
Source: RNAcentral
AUGGUCAAAGCCAUGUUCCUGCCAGCCUCAGGAGCUGCGUGUGGCCGGAGCAGGAUGGGGCCCGGGACAGGUCCAGAUGUGGGACUCGCCCAGUGCAGCGGCUCCGAGCUCCCGCACCCCCCUCUAGCGGCAAAUCCUAGAGGGUUUUGCCGCUGGGACAGGGGGCACAAGGGGACCCCUCGCCCUGAUCACCCCCACGUUGGGAUCCCUGGCCCCAGCCGGGUUAGGGACCACGUUACACGUGCCAGGAGGCUUCUGCCUGGCACAGGGCGGGCAGCGGGUGUCCCCGCACUGCUCCACGCCCCCCAACACCCGAUGAGGAGUCCGGGGAGAUGGCGGUGCUGGGCUCCUGCCGCAUGCUGGUGGGCAGCGAGGGGAGCGCAGCGCUGCACCCACACCCUGCCACCCCGACGGGGGCUCGCGGGGGGCUCCUUGCCCUCCGUGCCCCCGUCAGCAUCGUGCAGGGGCGCGAGGGCUGCAGCACGCAGGUGCUGCCAGGUGCAGAGCUGCAAAUCCCCGGGCCGGGAAUCGGCGCGGCAUCGCUCCCGGAAAUCCAGCCGGGGUCCACCCACUGCUUGUAGAGGAAAGUGCGGUGAAUCACCCGUGCGGGGAAGGAAAACGCAGCGAGCGUGGGCCUUCGGGGCCUCCCCGGGCAGGCCUGCUGCAGGAGGGGGGCAUGGAGGGAGCAGCCCCGGGGGGGUGGCCGAGCCCGUCCCAGCCGGCAGCAGCGCUCUGCUCCCCGCAGGGCAGCCCCACAGGCUGUUUGCCAGGCAGACAUCCCAGCCAGUGGCACUUGGAGAGAAACGUUUUUCUCUGGAAAAGAAAUGGUUCUGGGUCUGGGUUUGGUAUAACACGGACUGGGCUGCUGCGGCUGCCCAACGCGGGGGUGCAAAGCCCUUGGGAUGGCCUGCGGUGCUCCCCCUGGUCUGCCAGGGUCCUCUGAUAUCCCUCAACCCCGUGGGCUGUCUCUGGUACCCCACGGUGCAACGAACAGCAGGUGAGAAGAGAUCUGUGUGUCCACAAAGAGCCGUGCUAUCUUCCAGCCACAUCAGACUCUCAGGACAGACACCUCCUUACAGCAAGCGCUUGGCGCUGUGCCCGAGGGCUGCAGCAAGGGCAGGCGGUGCUGGGCUCGGACAGCAGCCGGGGGGCACUAGGGAUGGGGUCUGGGCUCCUUGGGACCCGCCGGUGAUGGGAAGGGCAGAUUGCAGGCACCUGCUGCCAGCUGAUAAAGGACGCUGCAGGCAGCCCCCCCCCCGCUGCUGUGCCCACGGAGAGCUGCCUCCCUCCCCGUGCUGUGCCCUGGGCUCCUCAGAAACCCUCCAGGAGCAGCAGGCUCCAUAACUACACGUGGAUGGAGGAGUGUUUGCCAGAAAGCAGGAAGCUGAAGAGAGGAAAUGUACAUGCUGAGAGGCAGCGUGUGAAGGUCUUCCAGGAACCAACAGACUCCAGUGCCUGGGGUCCUGCUGAACCCACAAGGACCGAUGAGUUAGGACAUGGUCAGACGGAUCUGCAUGAGGCACGCAUGCCAUCAACAAUGGUCAUAUAACUUGGGCCACAUCCAAGGUGUGAGCGGCUCUUGUACACAGACAAGGAUUACAGGAUUACACAUGCAUCUGCAGAAGCAAAUGGGCUUUCUGGAUGUUGACCCAGAAGCCAAUGGUAAUUCGGUACGACCCGCUAUAUCUGAGAAAACCCCUGUGGUCAGCUCUCCCCUGGAUAAAAAUGAGUGACUGCAUAUGCGAACCAUAAAAAUAAUUGAAUUUACUGUCUGAGUAGUUACCUGUUACUAAUUUAUUAUAGCAGCUUAAUAAAAGGUAUGCUAACAGAUAUUGAUUGAUCUGC